ACGCUGGUAACGUCGUCUCCUGGCCGGGGAACAGCGGCGGCGGUGGUCGCCGAUCGGGAAGCGGGACGAUGGUGGGCGCUGGCUGGAGAACAGCAGCGGCGGGUGGACUGGCCGGAAGCAGGGGAUGGGGUGGCUGCGGCUUCUUCUUCCUCUCGUGUUUUUCUUUUCUUUUUUCUUUCGUUUCUUUUUUUUUUUUGCUGCUCUGAUACCAAAUGAUAAGACCCUAAAGUCUUAUCGUAGGCUCUGAUACCAAAUGAUAAGACCCUAAAGUCUUAUCGUAGGCUCUGAUACCAA
Molecule: long non-coding RNA, 294 nt
Filed under: Musa acuminata (dwarf banana)
Lineage: Eukaryota; Viridiplantae; Streptophyta; Magnoliopsida; Zingiberales; Musaceae
Description: long non-coding RNA (MACU_LNC005264)
Source: RNAcentral